ACGAACGCUGGCGGCAUGCCUAACACAUGCCAGUCGAACGAGACCUUCGGGUCUAGUGGCGCACGGGUGCGUAACGCGUGGGAAUCUACCCUCAGGUUCGGAAUAACUCAGAGAAAUUUGAGCUAAUAUCGGAUGAUGACGUAAGUCCAAAGAUUUAUCGCCUGAGGAUGAGCCCGCGUAGGAUUAGGUAGUUGGUGAGGUAAAGGCUCACCAAGCCGACGAUCCUUAGCUGGUCUGAGAGGAUGAUCAGCCACACUGGGACUGAGACACGGCCCAGACUCCUACGGGAAGCAGCAGUGGGGAAUAUUGGACAAUGGGCGAAAGCCUGAUCCAGCAAUGCCGCGUGAGUGAUGAAGGCCUUAGGGUUGUAAAGCUCUUUUACCCGGGAUGAUAAUGACAGUACCGGGAGAAUAAGCUCCGGCUAACUCCGUG
Molecule: ribosomal RNA, 432 nt
Filed under: uncultured bacterium
Lineage: Bacteria
Description: partial 16S ribosomal RNA
Rfam family: Bacterial small subunit ribosomal RNA
Source: RNAcentral